AAAAGAUGCCUGAAAAAGGACUAUUUUGAUAGAAUAGAAAAUGCAUAAUUUAUACUCUAUUA
Molecule: transfer RNA, 62 nt
Filed under: Euschistus heros (neotropical brown stinkbug)
Lineage: Eukaryota; Metazoa; Arthropoda; Insecta; Hemiptera; Pentatomidae
Description: tRNA-Ile
Source: RNAcentral